UCUGCAUAGGCGAAAGCCUGACAGGGUUACUCUGAGUGAUUUCCGUUAAGGAGAUCUUUUGGCACCUCUAAAAAUGGUGCAGAAUAAGGGGUGGGCAAGUCUGGUGUCAGCCGCCGCGGUAAUACCAGCACCCCGAGUGGUCGGGACGUUUAUUGGGCCUAAAGCAUCCGUAGCCGGUUCUACAAGUCUUCCGUUAAAUCCACCUGCUUAACAGAUGGGCCGCGGAAGAUACUAUAGAGCUAGGAGGCGGGAGAGGCAAGCGGUACUCGAUGGGUAGGGGUAAAAUCCGUUGAUCCAUUGAAGACCACCAGUGGCGAAGGCGGCUUGCCAGAACGCGCUCGACGGUGAGGGAUGAAAGCUGGGGGAGCAAACCGGAUUAGAUACCCGGGUAGUCCCAGCUGUAAACGAUGCAGACUCGGUGAUGAAUUGGCUUCAUGCCUAUUCAGUGCCGCAGGGAAGCCGUUAAGUUUGCCGCCUGGGGAGUACGGUCGCAAGACUGAAACUUAAA
RNAcentral lists this ribosomal RNA (508 nucleotides) under uncultured Nitrososphaerota archaeon. RNAcentral's name for it is "bacterial SSU rRNA". It matches the Rfam family "Archaeal small subunit ribosomal RNA", at positions 349 to 860 of the family's 1478-position model. The record is from RNAcentral. Lineage: Archaea; Thermoproteati; Nitrososphaerota.